This 253-nucleotide ribosomal RNA is filed under the name uncultured bacterium. RNAcentral's name for it is "partial 16S ribosomal RNA". It matches the Rfam family "Bacterial small subunit ribosomal RNA", at positions 524 to 776 of the family's 1533-position model. The record is from RNAcentral.
UACGGAGGAUCCAAGCGUUAUCCGGAUUUAUUGGGUUUAAAGGGUGCGUAGGUGGUUCUUUAAGUCGGACGUGAAAGCCCUCGGCUCAACUGAGGAAGUGCAUCCGAAACUGGCAAGCUAGAGUAUGUAAGAGGGUCGCGGAAUUCCCGGUGUAGAGGUGAAAUUCGUAGAUAUCGGGAGGAACACCGGUGGCGAAGGCGGCGACCUGGGACAAUACUGACACUGAGGUGCGAAAGCGUGGGGAGCAAACAGG